AUACGUAGGUGGCAAGCGUUGUCCGGAUUUACUGGGUGUAAAGGGCGUGUAGCCGGGUUGGCAAGUCAGAUGUGAAAUCUAUGGGCUUAACUCAUAAACUGCAUUUGAAACUGCUGAUCUUGAGUAUCGGAGAGGCAAUCGGAAUUCCUAGUGUAGCGGUGAAAUGCGUAGAGAUUGGGAGGAACACCAGUGGCGAAGGCGACUUACUGGACUGUAACUGACGCUGAGGCGCGAAAGUGUGGGGAGCAAACAGGAUUAGAUACCCUGGUAGUCCACACUGUAAACGAUGGAUACUAGGUGUAGGGGGUAUCGACUCCCUCUGUGCCGCAGUUAACACAAUAAGUAUUCCGCCUGGGGAGUACGGCCGCAAGGUUGAAACUCAAAUGAAUUGACGGGG
RNAcentral lists this ribosomal RNA (397 nucleotides) under uncultured bacterium. RNAcentral's name for it is "partial 16S ribosomal RNA". It matches the Rfam family "Bacterial small subunit ribosomal RNA", at positions 523 to 918 of the family's 1533-position model. The record is from RNAcentral.